Molecule: ribosomal RNA, 253 nt
Filed under: uncultured bacterium
Lineage: Bacteria
Description: partial 16S ribosomal RNA
Rfam family: Bacterial small subunit ribosomal RNA
Source: RNAcentral
UACGAAGGGGGCUAGCGUUGCUCGGAAUCACUGGGCGUAAAGGGCGCGUAGGCGGACUUUUAAGUCGGGGGUGAAAGCCCAGGGCUCAACCCUGGAAUUGCCUUCGAUACUGAGAGUCUUGAGUUCGGAAGAGGUUGGUGGAACUGCGAGUGUAGAGGUGAAAUUCGUAGAUAUUCGCAAGAACACCGGUGGCGAAGGCGUCCCUCUGGCCGGAUACUGACGCUGAGACGCGAAAGCGUGGGGAGCAAACAGG